AAAAAGACAAACCCUGAUUUCCGUGCCCAACGUUUGACCGUCCUUCUUAUUUGAAAAAAUUAUGAAAAAAAUUUAAAAAGACAAGUCACGCAUAAAAUAUUAAUCAUGUUUUAUCAUCUAACAACAAUGAAAAUACGAAUUAUUAAAAAAUUUCAUAUAAGACGGACAGUCAAAGUUGGACAUGGAAACCUAGGG
This 195-nucleotide microRNA precursor is filed under the name Oryza glumipatula. RNAcentral's name for it is "MIR812 microRNA precursor family". It matches the Rfam family "MIR812 microRNA precursor family". Lineage: Eukaryota; Viridiplantae; Streptophyta; Magnoliopsida; Poales; Poaceae. The record is from Rfam by way of RNAcentral.